UGGGGAAUUUUGGACAAUGGGCGCAAGCCUGAUCCAGCCAUGCCGCGUGCGGGAAGAAGGCCUUCGGGUUGUAAACCGCUUUUGUCAGGGAAGAAAUCUUCUGAGUUAAAUACCUCGGGAGGAUGACGGUACCUGAAGAAUAAGCACCGGCUAACUACGUGCCAGCAGCCGCGGUAAUACGUAGGGUGCAAGCGUUAAUCGGAAUUACUGGGCGUAAAGCGUGCGCAGGCGGUUUUGUAAGACAGAGGUGAAAUCCCCGGGCUCAACCUGGGAACUGCCUUUGUGACUGCAAGGCUUGAGUGCGGCAGAGGGGGGAUGGAAUUCCGCGUGUAGCAGUGAAAUGCGUAGAUAUGCGGAGGAACACCGAUGGCGAAGGCAAUCCCCCUGGGCCUGCACUGACGCUCAUGCACGAAAGCGUGGGGAGCAAACAGGGUUAGAUACCCUGGGUAGUCCACGCCCUAAACGAUGUCAACUGGUUGUUGGGAAGGUUCCUUCUCAGUAAACGUAGCUAACGCGUGAAGUUGGACCGCCUGGGGGAGUACGGCCGCAAGGUUGAAACUC
This 561-nucleotide ribosomal RNA is filed under the name uncultured bacterium. RNAcentral's name for it is "partial 16S ribosomal RNA". It matches the Rfam family "Bacterial small subunit ribosomal RNA", at positions 355 to 902 of the family's 1533-position model. The record is from RNAcentral.